GGUUGUAUGGAGUAGUUGGUUAACUUAGGAGAUUCUGAUUGUAUGAGCUCGUCUUGCGCUCACAUCAAUACGAUUCGACUUCUCUUGCCCUGGGUUCGAAUCCCAGUACGACCU
Non-coding RNA from Pseudozyma hubeiensis SY62, 114 nucleotides. The record is from the annotation of a RefSeq genome assembly. Lineage: Eukaryota; Fungi; Basidiomycota; Ustilaginomycetes; Ustilaginales; Ustilaginaceae.